This 73-nucleotide transfer RNA is filed under the name Wenyingzhuangia sp. 2_MG-2023. RNAcentral's name for it is "tRNA-Ile". It matches the Rfam family "tRNA". Rfam says of the family: Transfer RNA (tRNA) molecules are approximately 80 nucleotides in length. Their secondary structure includes four short double-helical elements and three loops (D, anti-codon, and T loops). The record is from RNAcentral. Lineage: Bacteria; Pseudomonadati; Bacteroidota; Flavobacteriia; Flavobacteriales; Flavobacteriaceae.
GGCCCCUUAGCUCAUUGGCUAGAGCAGUACUCUCAUAAAGUGAAGGUCAUUGGUUCGAUUCCAAUAGGGGCCA